This 497-nucleotide ribosomal RNA is filed under the name uncultured bacterium. Its description in RNAcentral is "partial 16S ribosomal RNA". It matches the Rfam family "Bacterial small subunit ribosomal RNA", at positions 28 to 507 of the family's 1533-position model. The record is from RNAcentral.
GAUGAACGCUGGCGGCGUGCCUAAUACAUGCAAGUCGAGCGAACAGACGAGGAGCUUGCUCCUCUGACGUUAGCGGCGGGCGGGUGAGUAACACGUGGAUAACCUACCUAUAAGACUGGGAUAACUUCGGGAAACCGGAGCUAAUACCGGAUAAUAUAUUGAACCGCAUGGUUCAAUAGUGAAAGACGGUUUUGCUGUCACUUAUAGAUGGAUCCGCGCCGCAUUAGCUAGUUGGUAAGGUAACGGCUUACCAAGGCAACGAUGCGUAGCCGACCUGAGAGGGUGAUCGGCAACACUGGAACUGAGACACGGUCCAGACUCCUACGGGAGGCAGCAGUAGGGAAUCUUCCGAAAUGGGCGAAAGCCUGACGGAGCAACGCCGCGUGAGUGAUGAAGGUCUUCGGAUCGUAAAACUCUGUUAUUAGGGAAGAACAAAUGUGUAAGUAACUAUGCACGUCUUGACGGUACCUAAUCAGAAAGCCACGGCUAACUACGUG